GAUGAAGAACGUAGCGAAAUGCGAUACUUGGUGUGAAUUGCAGAAUCCCGUGAACCAUCGAGUCUUUGAACGCAAGUUGCGCCCGAAGCCACUAGGCCGAGGGCACGCCUGCCUGGGCGUCACACGUCGUUGCCCCCCCCCCAUCUACUCCUUCGGGAUUGCGGGGGGCGGAUGAUGGCCUCCCGUGCGCCUAGCCGCGCGGUUGGCAUAAAUACCAAGUCCUCGGCGACGCACGCCACGACAAUCGGUGGUUGCGAAACCUCGGUUGCCCGUCGUGUGCGUUCGUCGCGCAUCGAGGGCUCGAAAAAAUGCUCGGCUCCGGCUCGGCUUUCAACGCGACCCCACGUCAGGCGGGGUUACCCGCUGAAUUUAAGCAUAUCAAUAAGCGGAGGA
RNAcentral lists this unclassified non-coding RNA (393 nucleotides) under soil metagenome. RNAcentral describes it as "partial contains 5.8S ribosomal RNA, internal transcribed spacer 2, and large subunit ribosomal RNA". The stretch from base 1 to 122 matches the Rfam family "5.8S ribosomal RNA", at positions 35 to 154 of the family's 154-position model. The record is from RNAcentral.